AACUCCUGGAAAUGGGCAAAGAGAUACCUUGUGGUGGUAUAGUUCUUACAUCAGCCAGGGGCAGAGCAGAUGUCAGUCCUUUGUUCAUCCUAGCUUGAUGCCUAACUUGGUGGCCAAAGCUGUUUCAUGCCUAGGGCACAUUU
This is a small nucleolar RNA of Cricetulus griseus (Chinese hamster), 143 nucleotides long. Ensembl annotates it as small nucleolar RNA SNORA48. Lineage: Eukaryota; Metazoa; Chordata; Mammalia; Rodentia; Cricetidae. The record is from Ensembl.